Molecule: long non-coding RNA, 633 nt
Organism: Schistocerca piceifrons (Central American locust)
Lineage: Eukaryota; Metazoa; Arthropoda; Insecta; Orthoptera; Acrididae
Exons: 3
Source: RefSeq, a predicted model, not a curated record
UUCACCUCUGACACAACAGCCAGUUGGUUGUCAUGGCACUUGGCCACUGCAGGCUGCCUGCCACCGUCGUGAUUGAAGAUGAUGUUUUCCACCUUCACACCUGCUGUCUGUGACAUUCAGAUGUCUGAGCAAGCAGCGCCUUCCUUACUUGCCAUCGCCACCAGCACAGCACGCAGCUGUGGCACCCUACUAUGGACGUUACAUCUUGAAUCGCUGACAGGGCAUCAGCACUCUUUCAUGGCAUGUAUCCUUCUCCAGCCAGUCAUCUACUGCUGCUCUAAAGACACUUACAGGAUACUGCUGCUUCACUGAUGCCACAGGGCGUAUGAUAGCCAUCCACACCAGUUCCUGAGCUCCGUCUCCUACACCAGAAGUGUCACCACCUCACCUGCAAAACUUCUACACCCACUAAAAAUGCUGACUUGAGGGGUUCCACGAGACUUCAAUGCUUUCCAGGCGACACAAAACCAACUUUUUCUACAGUUCCUACAGCUCUCUUGCCAACACCACAUUGUUCUGGAGCCCGUUCUUGUGUUUUCAAAUAUCGACAGUAGAAGACUUGCUUUCAAAUUCAUGUUUGAAAAGUUAUAAAUGCGGUAAAUAAUCCCCCUCGCCAGAUUGUGAGGUACUUCA